Molecule: ribosomal RNA, 301 nt
Filed under: uncultured bacterium
Lineage: Bacteria
Description: partial 16S ribosomal RNA
Rfam family: Bacterial small subunit ribosomal RNA
Source: RNAcentral
CAGUAGCCGCGGUAAUACGGAGGGUGCAAGCGUUAAUCGGAAUUACUGGGCGUAAAGCGCACGCAGGCGGUCUGACAAGUCAGAUGUGAAAUCCCGGGGCUUAACCUGGGAACUGCAUUUGAAACUGUCAGGCUGGAGUCUUGUAGAGGGGGGUAGAAUUCCAGGUGUAGCGGUGAAAUGCGUAGAGAUCUGGAGGAAUACCGGUGGCGAAGGCGGCCCCCUGGACAAAGACUGACGCUCAGGUGCGAAAGCGUGGGGAGCAAACAGGAUUAGAUACCCCUGUAGUCCCUGUCUCUUAUAC